Molecule: long non-coding RNA, 704 nt
Organism: Nannospalax galili (Upper Galilee mountains blind mole rat)
Lineage: Eukaryota; Metazoa; Chordata; Mammalia; Rodentia; Spalacidae
Exons: 2
Source: RefSeq, a predicted model, not a curated record
ACCAGGGUGCCUGGAAACAAACUCAGAUCCUCUGAAGAGCACUGUGAUCUCUUAACCACUGAGCCAUCUCUUUGGCCACAUUUAUCAACAUUUUAAAUACAGGCAGGAGCUGACCCUGUACCUGCACAGCUUACCUGGCUUCCCUACCCUGGGAGGAAGCAGGCCUGGAAGGAUGCUGGUCUCCCACUCUCCACCACAAAUAAUAAAGCCUGUAAGUUGUUUGAUGCCACCUUGACCUAGGUAUGACUGCCAAGAGACAGCUCCCCCUCUGCCCAUCCCCAUCGGUCCCCUUCCCAAGGUCAUCAGUGUGGGGUGGACAGCAGUGAAUGCCCCAAGAGGGUCUUGGAGUGCUCAGGCUUUGUCAGUGUCUUGCUGUGGCCUACUGAGGGUUUGCUGUGGGAUUGGACAUGAGUGCAUGGGAUCCUGGGGCUCACCUGGCUUUAGCCAGGCCAAAACCUUCUACACAUUUCUAGGUACUUCCACACCUGUGAAGGAUCCUGAAGUUCCUGAACUUGAGAGCUCAAGACCUGCCUUGCUGAGUAACUUCACUGGGUCUUUGGACCUGCUUGUCUGCUCUGCAUCUAACACCAGCCCACCUGCCCUGCCUGCACCUUGUUGACCCCACACCCCACAUUCCUUGAUUCAGCAGCAACCAUUGGCAUUUAAAAAAAGAUUUGAAAUAAAAAUACCAGUAAUUAAAAAUA